Molecule: non-coding RNA, 79 nt
Organism: Daedalea quercina L-15889
Lineage: Eukaryota; Fungi; Basidiomycota; Agaricomycetes; Polyporales; Fomitopsidaceae
Source: the annotation of a GenBank genome assembly
GCAAACGUGGGGUAGUGGUAACCUGGGUCGUUGCCAUUCCCUUGUCGACCCGCCCCGAGUUCGAUUCUCGGCGUUUGCA